AACUUUCAGCAACGGAUCUCUUGGCUCUCGCAUCGAUGAAGAACGCAGCGAAAUGCGAUAAGUAAUGUGAAUUGCAGAAUUCAGUGAAUCAUCGAAUCUUUGAACGCAUCUUGCGCUCCUUGGUAUUCCGAGGAGCAUGCCUGUUUGAGUGUCAUUAAAUUCUCAACCCCUCUAGCUUUUGCGAGCUGUGACGGGGCUUGGAUGUUGGGAGUUUGCGGGCCUUUCAAAGGUCGGCUCUCCUGAAAUGCAUUAGCGGAACCGUUUGCAGUCCCGUCACUAGUGUGAUAAUUAUCUACACUGUGAUGAUUGCUCUCUGACUAGUUCAGCUGCUAAUAGUCCACUUCUGGACAACACUUAAUGAACUUCUUGACCUCAAAUCAGGUAGGACUACCCGCUGAACUUAAGCAUAUCAAUAAGCGGAGGAAAAGAAACUAACAAGGAUUCCCCUAGUAACUGCGAGUGAAGCGGGAAAAGCUCAAAUUUAAAAUCUGGCGGUCUCUGGCCGUCCGAGUUGUAAUCUAGAGAAGUGAUGCCCGCGCUGGACCGUGUACAAGUCUCCUGGAAUGGAGCGUCAUAGAGGGUGAGAAUCCCGUCUCUGACACGGACUACCAGGGCUUUGUGGUAUGCUCUCAAAGAGUCGAGUUGUUUGGGAAUGCAGCUCUAAAUGGGUGGUAAAUUCCAUCUAAAGCUAAAUAUUGGCGAGAGACCGAUAGCGAACAAGUACCGUGAGGGAAAGAUGAAAAGAACUUUGGAAAGAGAGUUAAACAGUACGUGAAAUUGCUGAAAGGGAA
Molecule: unclassified non-coding RNA, 791 nt
Filed under: uncultured Agaricales
Lineage: Eukaryota; Fungi; Basidiomycota; Agaricomycetes; Agaricales
Description: sequence contains 5.8S rRNA gene, ITS2, 28S rRNA gene
Rfam family: Eukaryotic large subunit ribosomal RNA (bases 368-791)
Source: RNAcentral